Molecule: ribosomal RNA, 496 nt
Filed under: Escherichia coli
Lineage: Bacteria; Pseudomonadati; Pseudomonadota; Gammaproteobacteria; Enterobacterales; Enterobacteriaceae
Description: partial 23S ribosomal RNA
Rfam family: Bacterial large subunit ribosomal RNA
Source: RNAcentral
CCUGUACCAGUGCUAAUUGUUUAACCGAUGGGGUGACACAGAAGGAUAGGGAAUCGCACGAAUGGAAAUGUGCGUCCAAGCAGUGAGUGUGAGAAGUAGGCAAAUCCGCUUCUCGCGAAGCAUGAGCUGUGAUGGGGAAGGAAAUUAAGUACGGAAGUUCCUGAUUUCACGCUGUCAAGAAAAGCCUCUAGGAAGAGUAGUACUGCCCGUACCGCAAACCGACACAGGUAGAUGAGGAGAGAAUCCUAAGGUGAGCGAGAGAACUCUCGUUAAGGAACUCGGCAAAAUGACCCCGUAACUUCGGGAGAAGGGGUGCUCUAUUAGGGUGCAAGCCCGAGAGAGCCGCAGUGAAUAGGCCCAGGCGACUGUUUAGCAAAAACACAGGUCUCUGCAAAACCGUAAGGUGACGUAUAGGGGCUGACGCCUGCCCGGUGCUGGAAGGUUAAGAGGAGUGCUUAGCUUCGGCGAAGGUACGAAUUGAAGCCCCAGUAAACGG